CGGAUUUAUUGGGCGUAAAGGGGGCGCAGGCUGCUUCUUAAGUCUGAUGUGAAAGCCCACGGCUUAACCGGGGAAGUGCAUUGGAAACUGGGAAGCUUGAGUACAGAAGAGGAAAGUGGAACUCCAUGUGUAGCGGUGGAAUGCGUAGAUAUAUGGAAGAACACCAGUGGCGAAAGCGACUUUCUGGUCUGUCACUGACGCUGAGGCCCGAAAGCGUGGGUAGCAAACAGGAUUAGAUACCCUGGUAGUC
This 250-nucleotide ribosomal RNA is filed under the name uncultured Aerococcus sp. RNAcentral's name for it is "partial 16S ribosomal RNA". It matches the Rfam family "Bacterial small subunit ribosomal RNA", at positions 546 to 795 of the family's 1533-position model. The record is from RNAcentral. Lineage: Bacteria; Bacillati; Bacillota; Bacilli; Lactobacillales; Aerococcaceae.